RNAcentral lists this transfer RNA (74 nucleotides) under Bifidobacterium bohemicum. RNAcentral describes it as "tRNA_Val_TAC". It matches the Rfam family "tRNA". Rfam says of the family: Transfer RNA (tRNA) molecules are approximately 80 nucleotides in length. Their secondary structure includes four short double-helical elements and three loops (D, anti-codon, and T loops). RNAcentral also lists the same sequence under 9 other names. Lineage: Bacteria; Bacillati; Actinomycetota; Actinomycetes; Bifidobacteriales; Bifidobacteriaceae. The record is from RNAcentral.
GGGCGAUUAGCUCAGCUGGUUAGAGCGCCACCUUUACACGGUGGAUGUCGGGGGUUCGAAUCCCUCAUCGCCCA